GAUGAACGCUGGCGGCGUGCCUAAUACAUGCAAGUCGAGCGAACGGACGAGAAGCUUGCUUCUCUGAUGUUAGCGGCGGACGGGUGAGUAACACGUGGAUAACCUACCUAUAAGACUGGGAUAACUUCGGGAAACCGGAGCUAAUACCGGAUAAUAUUUUGAACCGCAUGGUUCAAAAGUGAAAGACGGUCUUGCUGUCACUUAUAGAUGGAUCCGCGCUGCAUUAGCUAGUUGGUAAGGUAACGGCUUACCAAGGCAACGAUGCAUAGCCGACCUGAGAGGGGGAUCGGCCACACUGGAACUGAGACACGGUCCAGACUCCUACGGGAGGCAGCAGUAGGGAAUCUUCCGCAAUGGGCGAAAGCCUGACGGAGCAACGCCGCGUGAGUGAUGAAGGUCUUCGGAUCGUAAAACUCUGUUAUUAGGGAAGAACAUAUGUGUAAGUAACUGUGCACAUCUUGACGGUACCUAAUCGGAAAGCCACGGCUAAAUACGU
Molecule: ribosomal RNA, 496 nt
Filed under: uncultured bacterium
Lineage: Bacteria
Description: partial 16S ribosomal RNA
Rfam family: Bacterial small subunit ribosomal RNA
Source: RNAcentral